This 453-nucleotide ribosomal RNA is filed under the name uncultured organism. RNAcentral describes it as "partial 16S ribosomal RNA". It matches the Rfam family "Bacterial small subunit ribosomal RNA", at positions 329 to 799 of the family's 1533-position model. The record is from RNAcentral.
ACGUACACUCCUGCGGGAGGCAGCAGUGGGGAAUAUUGGACAAUGGGCGCAAGCCUGAUCCAGCCAUGCCGCGUGAGUGAUGAAGGCCCUAGGGUUGUAAAGCUCUUUCACCGGUGAAGAUAAUGACGGUAACCGGAGAAGAAGCCCCGGCUAACUUCGUGCCAGCAGCCGCGGUAAUACGAAGGGGGCUAGCGUCGUUCGGAUUUACUGGGCGUAAAGCGCACGUAGGCGGACUAUUAAGUCAGGGGUGAAAUCCCGGGGCUCAACCCCGGAACUGCCUUUGAUACUGGUAGUCUUGAGUUCGAGAGAGGUGAGUGGAAUUCCGAGUGUAGAGGUGAAAUUCGUAGAUAUUCGGAGGAACACCAGUGGCGAAGGCGGCUCACUGGCUCGAUACUGACGCUGAGGUGCGAAAGCGUGGGGAGCAAACAGGAUUAGAUACCCUAGUAGUCCAUG